UACGAAGGGGGCUAGCGUUGCUCGGAAUCACUGGGCGUAAAGCGCACGUAGGCGGACUCUUAAGUCGGUGGUGAAAUCCUGGAGCUCAACUCCAGAACUGCCUUCGAUACUGAGAGUCUCGAGUCCGGGAGAGGUGAGUGGAACUGCGAGUGUAGAGGUGAAAUUCGUAGAUAUUCGCAAGAACACCAGUGGCGAAGGCGGCUCACUGGCCCGGUACUGACGCUGAGGUGCGAAAGCGUGGGGAUCAAACAGG
This 253-nucleotide ribosomal RNA is filed under the name uncultured bacterium. RNAcentral describes it as "partial 16S ribosomal RNA". It matches the Rfam family "Bacterial small subunit ribosomal RNA", at positions 524 to 776 of the family's 1533-position model. The record is from RNAcentral.